GACGAACGCUGGCGGCGUGCUUAACACAUGCAAGUCGAACGGAAAGGCCCUGCUUUUGUGGGGUGCUCGAGUGGCGAACGGGUGAGUAACACGUGAGUAACCUGCCCUUGACUUUGGGAUAACUUCAGGAAACUGGGGCUAAUACCGGAUAGGAGCUCCUGCUGCAUGUUGGGGGUUGGAAAGUUUCGGCGGUUGGGGAUAGACUCGCGGCUUAUCAGCUUGUUGGGGGGGUAGUGGCUUACCAAGGCUUUGAGGGGUAGCCCGCCUUGGAGGGGGGCCGGGCACCAUGGGACUAAGGGAGGGACCAGUAGGCAAACGGCAGCAAUGGGGGGGAAUCUUACGGAAAGGGGCGGAGUCUGAGAUGAAGAUCGCCGGAGCGGGAAUAUCGGCUUCCGGGUAAGAACCAAUUUGUACGGUAACAGAGAGGGAGUGACGGUAAUUGGUAAAAAAGCCACGGCUAACUACGUG
This 468-nucleotide ribosomal RNA is filed under the name uncultured bacterium. RNAcentral's name for it is "partial 16S ribosomal RNA". It matches the Rfam family "Bacterial small subunit ribosomal RNA", at positions 28 to 507 of the family's 1533-position model. The record is from RNAcentral.